GCAUGUAACUGAUACACCAUCGUGUUUGUUAUUAACAUUUGAAACAACCAACCAAUACAUUUAUGUUGGGGAACAUUGCACGGGAAACAAAAAUUUCCCACGCACACGCAAGACCUAUCCAUGGUGAUGAUCAUCUACGAGAGGGGAGAUCGGAUCCACAUACCCUUGUAGAUCGCUAAGCGGGAAGCGUUUAAGAAACGCGGUUGAUGUAGUCGAACGUCUUCGUGAUCCGAAUCGCAGACGUCCCACAAACUCUGUUCCGAUCUAGUGCCGAACGGACGGCACCUCCGGGUUCAGCACACGUACAGCUCGAUGACGAUCUCCGCCUUCUUGAUCCAGCAAAAGGGACGGAGAGGUAGAUGAGUUCUCCGGCAGCACGACGGCGUGGUGGUGGUGGUGAACUAAUCGAGCAGGGCUUCGCCAAGCAAUGUCGGACUAAGCUGGAUGAGGGAGACGAUCUAUGGAGGAGAGGGCAUCACGUGGAUUUUCUGGUGAAGUUUGCCCUCAAAACAUC
Molecule: long non-coding RNA, 514 nt
Filed under: Hordeum vulgare
Lineage: Eukaryota; Viridiplantae; Streptophyta; Magnoliopsida; Poales; Poaceae
Description: long non-coding RNA (HVUL_LNC011279)
Source: RNAcentral